Long non-coding RNA from Zea mays, 2970 nucleotides. RefSeq lists it as uncharacterized. The transcript has 3 exons. NCBI's taxonomy places the organism in Eukaryota, Viridiplantae, Streptophyta, Magnoliopsida, Poales, Poaceae. The record is from RefSeq and is a predicted model, not a curated record.
CAAGGGUCACAAACGCUGGCAACGGUCUCCUUUCGGGAGGUUUCUAGAGUGCGGGCACCUAGCUAAAGCAGCUUCCUCAGUAUGCUGCUCCCGCAUGCUCCUGCCGCCCUUCUCGCAACACCCGCCCACCACCACCGCAUCUUCUCCUACGCUCUCGCGCUCCGCCACGACCUUGGUCUGCCACUGCCACCGCUGUCUCGCCGGCUUCACGAGCCUUCUAAAACCUGGCGACGUCGCACUCACUGCUCCUGUGAGCGCACGUCACUGUGCCCGCCCGCCCCGCAUGCCGUGGUUCUGCUCGCGUUGGGCGAAUCGGGGGACGAGGAACCUACGCCGCAUUAUUAUCUCCAACAAUGGUGUCACAGACGCCAGGAAACGUCGUGCUGGCGCAAACUAGAGUGCCAUCCUCCCCCACCCCGCUCAUUUGCAAGGCUGUCGCGGUGCCGACGUGUCCAACCGCACGUCGUGGCACUUAGGCUCUUCCAAUUCCAAAUCGCAAAUGAGGUCUCUCCCUCGCAAAGAGCUACCUCGAAACGAGCUAUCCAGAAUCUGCGAUGUUGAUGUUGAAGUUGCAUUGAGAACUAGCUCCUCAAAGCUGCUAAAGUCGAAGGGCUCAACCCAAAACUCAAAGAACUGUCAAAACAAAACAUCCACAGCUGCACUAUGAAUCUAGUGCUCAAACACUAUUACAGAGUGAAAGUAAGUGGAUUGAGAUUUAUAUGUUUAUUUACAAUGAUCCAUAACCGCACCUUGUGACUGCUUAUUUUUAAGCCACUGAUUUUUUUGAAGUAUAGAUGAUAUCCCACACCUCAAGUGGUAUGGUGUCGAUGAGGAGUACCAUGUUAUGGUGAUUGAUCUUCUUGGCCCAAUCUUAGAAAAAUUGUUUACUUCCUGUAAUAGGAAAUUUUCUAUGAAAACAAUACUUAUGCUUACUGAUCAACCAUCGAGUUCAUCCAUUCCAUAUUCCAUAGUCAACUUUCUGAAAUUUGAUACCAGCUUAUAGUCAGAAAGCUAAUCAAGUUUGAUCAACCCCUGUAUUUUGCUUAUGUUGUUUUCAGUAUAAACAGAACAUAGUAGUUACUUCUCUAAUAUUAACAAUGUCUAGUAAUAAAUCCCAAGAUUCUCGUUCGUCAAUAAGCAAUGGUAAUAACAUAUCUCAUUUUUAUUCUAUAGAUCUAUAUCAUCGAUUAUGGACUUGCUAAGAAAUACAAGGACCUUUAGACUCAUAAACACAUCUCAUACAGGUGAAUCAUAGUAAGGAAGUUUUCAUUUAGAACCCAGACUGGACUAAUUUCCGGUAAUAAACCCCAAAAUUCUUAUUCAUCAAUAAACAAUAGUAAAAACAUAUAUCCUUUUUAUUCUACGGGUCUUUAUAAUUGAUUAUGGUCUUUCUAAGAAAAACAAGACCUUCAUACUCAAACACACCACAUACAGGUGAAGCAUAUUAAUGAAGUUUUGACUUAGAACUGGGAGACUUCAUUGUGCCACACAAUUAUUCUAUUAAAUAGCAAGUUCGUAAGCAGAAACUGGUAUGCGAGAAUUCACACAACCUCUAUACUGCACCUGUCUAUGUCACAGCUUCUUACAUUAUCUCUAGAGACACUGGCUAAUGGUACAUUAUUGGGGUAAUCCAAAAGGUUAUGUGGAUUCAAUAUAGUACCAAAUCGUGGUACAUAGAGGCAACCUGAAUGGAUUGUUUGACUGUAUGUCAUUUACAUGUAAAUAUCAGAAAUAAAACGAAUGCUCUUUGACGACUUAUGCUCGUGCCUAGGAGAUCACUGCCAAGUGCCAAGUGCCAAAUGCGAGCACUGCCUCAUCAUCAAGGUCCCCUCCGUUCAUAUUCAAUUGAACUAAAUUAACAUGAAGCAAAGGCAGCUCAAGGGUCAGCUGGGAGCGUUGUGUGGCCAAGAAAGACCAAACAUUUUUUGGUUAUAUCGUACCGACCCGAAGUGUAAAAACAGUGGCCCAGUCCGGCCCUAAACUACGUCGUACCUUCGUUGGGCCGUGCCGGCUCAAGCCCGGCCCGUAUAUUUGACCAUAUAAAAUCAAAAUAUUAUAACCAUAUAAAGUUCAUAACUUACUAAAUUGAAGAUAUUAAAUAAUUAUAGUAUCAUUUAACCACAUAAACUCCAAAUAUAACAACAAUAUAAAGUCGAUAUCUUACUAAAUUAAAGAAAUUAAACAUAUUGUGCUUAAUUGGGUCGUGCCGGCCCAAGCCCGACCCAUCUAUGCGGGCCGUUCCGGGAACCCGAUAGGUCGGAAUUUGAGGUCCGGCUCAGGCUCGCCUUCAGGUCAUGCUAGCCUGGCUCAUAUUAUUUCAUGUCGGACUGUACUUUAGGCUCUUAUUUUCGGGUCGUGCUUGUGCUGGCCCGAAAAGCCCGGUCUAGAUUCCCAGCACUAGCGGUGAUGGGGUGGGCGGACUACAUGAGGCCCGGGACCGUCUGUGGUUCGACUGGGCCAACUGAGCCCGUCAUGUAAUUCUGAGGCAAAGUAUGGUCAACUGGAUUCUUCUCUUAGAUAAUCACUCCCCAUGUAUUUCUAUUUAUUCAUAUUGUUUCUGUUUACUGGGCAGUUGGCACUGAAUUUCUGUUUACUGGGCAGUUUAGUAAGUUUCAGUUCAUGUAAUUCUGAGGCAAAGUAUGGUCAAAAGUUGGUUCUUUUCCUUCUGUUUAUCUUCUUUCUUCUCUUCUCAAGUUGUUUAUGUUUAUGAGAAAUCACUGUUGAUUGUGUCCUUUGCGUGUAUCCAAGUUGUUUCUGUUUUCCUUUGCGUGUAUCCAAGUUGUUUCUGUUUCUGUUUCCCCAAUCAAGUUGUUUCUGUUUAUGAGAAAUCACUGUUUACAAAGGAUCUGCUGUAAUUUAUUUCAAUUUAUGUUUAUGUAAGUUGCUCCUACUGUACAGAGACCUGAUGGCUAUUAUUCAAAAUCUGUUGUAAUCUAUUUCUACGUGUUGUUUCUGUUUACAAAGGAUCUG